RNAcentral lists this ribosomal RNA (473 nucleotides) under Muusoctopus tangaroa. Its description in RNAcentral is "partial large subunit ribosomal RNA". The stretch from base 349 to 473 matches the Rfam family "Bacterial large subunit ribosomal RNA", at positions 2473 to 2597 of the family's 2925-position model. The record is from RNAcentral. Lineage: Eukaryota; Metazoa; Mollusca; Cephalopoda; Octopoda; Octopodidae.
AACAGCUGCGGUAUUAUAACUGUACUAAGGUAGCAUAAUAAUUUGCCUUAUAAAUUAGGGCUAGAAUGAAUGGUUUGACGAAAAUUAUACUGUCUAUAUUUUAAUUAAUAGAAAUUAAUUUUUAUAGUGAAAAAGCUUAAAUAGUUUAAAGGGACGAGAGGACCCUAUUGAGCUUUAUAUUAGUUUUAAUAAAAUAAUUUAUUUAGUUAAAUUAAAUUUUUGUUUAUUAUGUUUAAUUUUGGUUGGGGUGAUCAAGGAAUAAGAUAAAUAUUAUUUAACUUCCUUAAAGAAUUAAUUUUUAGAAUAAUUAACCAAUGAUAUUGCUUAUAUGAUAAGUUACCCCAUAGGGAUAACAGCGUAUUGUUUUUGGAGAGUUCAUAUUAAAAAAAGAGAUUGCGACCUCGAUGUUGGAUUAAAAUAACCAUAUGGUGAAGAGGCUUUAUAUGGUGAAUCUGUUCGAUUUUUAAAAUUUU